AGUGAACGCUGGCGGUAGGCCUAACACAUGCAAGUCGAACGGCAGCACAGUAAGAGCUUGCUCUUACGGGUGGCGAGUGGCGGACGGGUGAGGAAUACAUCGGAAUCUACUUUUUCGUGGGGGAUAACGUAGGGAAACUUACGCUAAUACCGCAUACGACCUACGGGUGAAAGCAGGGGAUCAUCGGACCUUUCGCGAUUGAUUGAGCCGAUGUCGGAUUAGCUAGUUGGCGGGGUAAAGGCCCACCAAGGCGACGAUCCGUAGCUGGUCUGAGAGGAUGAUCAGCCACACUGGAACUGAGACACGGUCCAGACUCCUACGGGAGGCAGCAGUGGGGAAUAUUGGACAAUGGGCGCAAGCCUGAUCCAGCCAUACCGCGUGGGUGAAGAAGGCCUUCGGGUUGUAAAGCCCUUUUGUUGGGAAAGAAAAGCAGCAGGUUAAUACCCCGCUGUUCUGACGGUACCCAAAGAAUAAGCACCGGCUAACUUCGUG
RNAcentral lists this ribosomal RNA (492 nucleotides) under uncultured bacterium. Its description in RNAcentral is "partial 16S ribosomal RNA". It matches the Rfam family "Bacterial small subunit ribosomal RNA", at positions 29 to 507 of the family's 1533-position model. The record is from RNAcentral.